ACGUUAGCGGCGGACGGGUGAGUAACACGUGGGUAACCUACCUAUAAGACUGGGAUAACUUCGGGAAACCGGAGCUAAUACCGGAUAAUAUUUCGAACCGCAUGGUUCGAUAGUGAAAGAUGGUUUUGCUAUCACUUAUAGAUGGACCCGCGCCGUAUUAGCUAGUUGGUAAGGUAACGGCUUACCAAGGCGACGAUACGUAGCCGACCUGAGAGGGUGAUCGGCCACACUGGAACUGAGACACGGUCCAGACUCCUACGGGAGGCAGCAGG
This 272-nucleotide ribosomal RNA is filed under the name uncultured Staphylococcus sp. Its description in RNAcentral is "partial 16S ribosomal RNA". It matches the Rfam family "Bacterial small subunit ribosomal RNA", at positions 89 to 354 of the family's 1533-position model. The record is from RNAcentral. Lineage: Bacteria; Bacillati; Bacillota; Bacilli; Caryophanales; Staphylococcaceae.